This 497-nucleotide ribosomal RNA is filed under the name uncultured bacterium. RNAcentral's name for it is "partial 16S ribosomal RNA". It matches the Rfam family "Bacterial small subunit ribosomal RNA", at positions 28 to 507 of the family's 1533-position model. The record is from RNAcentral.
GAUGAACGCUGGCGGCGUGCCUAAUACAUGCAAGUCGAGCGAACAGACGAGGAGCUUGCCCCUCUGACGUUUGCGUCGGACGGGUGAGUAACACGUGGAAACCCUACCUAUUUGACUGGGAUAACUUCGGGAAACCGGAGUUAAUACCGGAUAAUAUAUUUAACCGCAUGCUUCAAUAUUGAAAGACGGUUUUGCUUUCACUUAUAGAUUGAUCCGGGCCGCAUUAUCUAUUUGGUUAGGUAACGGCUUACGAAGGCAACGAUGCGUAGCCGACCUGAGAGAGUGACCGGCAACACGGGAACGGGACCACGGUCCAGACUCCUAGGGGAGGAAGCGUGAGGGAAUCUUCGGAAAGGGGCGAAAGCCUGACGGAGCAAGGCCGCGUGGGGGAUGAAGGUUUUCGGAUCGUAAGAUUCUGUUAUUGGGGAAGAACAAAUGUGUAAGUAACGAUGCACGUAUUGACGGUACCGAAUCAGAAAGCCACGGCUAACUACGUG